This 301-nucleotide ribosomal RNA is filed under the name uncultured bacterium. Its description in RNAcentral is "partial 16S ribosomal RNA". It matches the Rfam family "Archaeal small subunit ribosomal RNA", at positions 459 to 759 of the family's 1478-position model. The record is from RNAcentral.
CAUCCGCCGCGGGAAAACCAGCAGCCCAAGUGGUGGUCGCGCUUAUUGGGCCUAAAGCGCUCGUAGCCUGGCCGGUAAGUUCCCCGUGAAAUCGGGUCGCCCAACGAUUCGGCUUGCGGGGAAUACUGUCGGUCUUGGGGCCGGGAGACGCCGAGGGUACUCCGGGGGUAGCGGUGAAAUGCUGUAAUCCUCGGGGGACUACCAGUGGCGAAGGCGCUCGGCGAUAACGGGCCUGACGGUGAGGGGCGAAAGCUGGGGGCGCGAACGGGAUUAGAUACCCCGGUAGUCCCUGUCUCUUAUU